UUUGUACAGAAGCUGACUCUGAGUAUAGUCCUGCUAGGCCUAAUAGCCGCUCCUGCCCUGGUGCAUGGAUCGUCUGAGGUCAAAGAAGAAAGUGCGAAUGCAAAGUUUUUCCUGAAGUCUUACCAGACGACGACCGUCACGACGCUGAGCAUCGUGCUGACGACCGUGCCUUACUUCUGUGCAAUUACAUCAACUUUAGCUGAGGGAGACGCACUUCAAGCCUGUACUGGGCGUCAGUUGAGGCGGAGGCGGAGGUAUAAUAUCAAGGAUUUCGACACAGACACAAAAGUGCGGCUGGAGGAGUCGACAGAUGACGACGUUCCGGAGGGGGCGGUGAAGGAGGGGGAGGGAACGAGAGGUUCUUUUUCACCCUGUGGCAGAGCUCGACCACCACUCUCACCGUGACGUCGACCUUGACCAACACCAGCAUCACCAUUUCGGCUUCGGCCUUUUGCACCUUCGCUAAUUACAACAUUCCUCUGUGCUAAUGAUUAGCGUAGCAGCUCCUGAAAGGCUGAAAAGAAUUCGCACGUUCAGUUUCCCUCUAUAGAUGUAUUAUGGAAUUCAGUAAGUUAGGUUAAGAAAGCUUACAAAUAUUGUAAAUCAGUGUGUUUUUCUUGCGACCCUGUACAGAAUAAAUAUAGCAGAAUA
Macrobrachium nipponense is the source of this 651-nucleotide long non-coding RNA. RefSeq lists it as uncharacterized. The transcript is spliced from 3 exons. NCBI's taxonomy places the organism in Eukaryota, Metazoa, Arthropoda, Malacostraca, Decapoda, Palaemonidae. The record is from RefSeq and is a predicted model, not a curated record.